Molecule: unclassified non-coding RNA, 995 nt
Filed under: Hevea brasiliensis (rubber tree)
Lineage: Eukaryota; Viridiplantae; Streptophyta; Magnoliopsida; Malpighiales; Euphorbiaceae
Source: RNAcentral
AGAAUGGAGUCCAAAAUGAGAAAAAUUCGCGUUAUUUACCAUGAUCCUUAUGCGACUGAUUCCGAUUCAAGUGAUGAUGAAUCAGCGAGAAAGGUAAAGAGAUCGUUUAAAUCAAAACGAUUUGUACGCGAGAUCAAUCUUCCUUUCAUUGUUUUUCGUCAGACCAAAGCCCUUGAACCUGAGAGUUCCUGUCAAGACAGUAACAACAGUGGCAAAACCCGCAACAAGAAGAGAAGGGUUUUGGGUAAAUCCUCAACCCCUACAACAACUACAGCAACAACAAUUACUGAAACAAAAGCGGCUCCGAAGAAACCUGUAGGUGUUAGGCAGAGGAAGUGGGGUAAGUGGGCUGCAGAAAUUAGAAAUCCAGUGACAAAAGCCAGAACUUGGUUGGGUACUUACAAUACUCUCGAGGAGGCUGCCCAGGCCUAUGAGGCAAAGAAACGGGAGUAUGAUGCUAUGACUAUGACACGCUCUGAGAAGAGCCAAAAUAUAUCAUCUUCUGUGGCAGCUUCUCAGUCGCAAAAGAUCAACAACAGCAGCAAUAGCAAUCCUGCUCCUGCUACCUCAGAUGACACUGAGAGUGUGUUAUCGCAUACUUCUCCGUCUUCAGUCCUAGACGUGGACACUUCCUUGUGUCAAAUCUUAAUGGUGACUCUAGUGAUUUGAUCAAAGAAGAAGGUUUUGAUACAGAUGUUGUUGAUCUUGAGAUACCUGAUUUGGGUUUUAUUAACGAGCCAUUGGGUUCUUGCCCAGUUGACGGAGAUCUUAACUUGGGAUUGGAGUUUGAUGACCUCAUUGAUGAUUUUGGGCAAUUUUAUGAUAAUUAUUGUGGCAUUGAAGAUCUUGAAAUUCGCGGGUUAGACAGUUGUGAACCAAGCGAGCUCCCUGAUUAUGAUUUUGAGUUUGGCAAUGAGGAAUUUGCUUAUUUGGAUGAUCAUCAUCAUCAACAGCACCAACUACCCCUCAAUAUUGCAUGCCCAUAAGUUUUGCAG